Molecule: long non-coding RNA, 1409 nt
Filed under: Triticum aestivum (bread wheat)
Lineage: Eukaryota; Viridiplantae; Streptophyta; Magnoliopsida; Poales; Poaceae
Description: long non-coding RNA (TAES_LNC004081)
Source: RNAcentral
UUUCAAAGUUCAAUCACACCUGAAUUUAUUACACGAUUCUCAUAUCGAGUCUUUAUUACAUCAUAAUAAAUUCGGCCGAAGGCCAACUCAUGAGAAAUAAACUAAAUAAAGUUGCGGAAGCAUAGACGAAAUAGCGAGUCCAUCCGACUCCAUAAGGCAAUCGCAAAGCAUGGAUCGUAGCCUCACUCCUGGUUGGAAAACUCCUCUGCAACAUAAGACGUUGCAGCCGUGUAGGUCAGCAUUUUUGAAUAUGUCAGCAAGUCAUGAAGAGAGAACAACAAUAAAAUUACUAAUACUAUAUGCAAUUUGGCUGUGGGGCUCUAAGUUUUCUGUUUUUGUGCAAAAGCCAGUUUUUCCCUAUAAUAAAGGACUUGUUUGCAAUUACUGCAAAAUUUCGAUUGUUAUUGAGAUGGUUCCGCCAACCAAUGUCUCAUUCCUAAUUAUUAAAUAACCCCUCAGUUAACUUAUUAAGUUUGGUGUUGAGAUUUCUGAAAUACUCCAAGUUCUAAAGGCUCAAAUUGUCCGUAACCGGGGACACAACUAAUCGAUUAGGUCUUCACUCUGCAGAGUCUUGUGCACCUUACCCGCAAGAAUCGUUCCCUCCUUUUAAGUCCUCGCACUGCCUGGUGUUUGAAGACUGGACGAACGGAACAUGGUCUUCCGAAGAGUUCCUCUAGGCCACUUUCGGUGACCAUCCAAUCAUACCGUUCUUCUACAUAUCGUAGCACCGUCCGGCCAAAGUCACGCCUAGGGUCGACCAAGCCAGAACCCAUAAUGGCUUGCGGCUGCACAAGUAAGCUUCCGGUCAAUGGGGUAUCCAUCCGUCUCUUCGUGGUUGGGCGAAGCUUUCCACAAGAUGUCAUGUGGCUUCUCCCAUGCAUCCCGACCAUCCGCUGGUUUCUCUAGGGUACCCGUCAACCGUCCUCCACCCAGUAGUGAAUUUUGAAGUCCAUCUUGAGCUUGAAGUCAUGGGGUUUUCAUCAUCUUGACUCUCACAUCUCCCUUAUGAAUCACUCAACCAACCCCGUCUACGAAAGCAUAACAAUCAACUACAUCAUCCCGGGCAUUGGUAACAAGGGAAAAGGGGUUCAUCCUACCUCAUGAUACUACUCAAGAACAUAGCUUAAAAUUCUCCUACUGCAUGCAUCGUGGGGAGGAAUAAUUAUAAUGCAACAAAAUCAUAGGUAUUGCAAAACAUGAUCAAAUGACUUGCCUAGUUGACGGUCUUCGAAAGCUAGCGACUCGUAAUAGCAGGCCUCACACUCCGGAAAUUCUAUCGAGUCAAACAAUAGCACAAAUAAGUAUACUACAGCAUAACAUAACAGCAAGCUAAAGUAAAUCACACAAACACUCAAACCAAAACCAAAGAAAACUCAAGGAAACCAAACCAAGGUUUUCAUCACUUCAAG